Dendronephthya gigantea is the source of this 922-nucleotide long non-coding RNA. RefSeq lists it as uncharacterized. The record is from RefSeq and is a predicted model, not a curated record. The transcript has 2 exons. NCBI's taxonomy places the organism in Eukaryota, Metazoa, Cnidaria, Anthozoa, Malacalcyonacea, Nephtheidae.
AGCCUCCAGUUAAUGAACCUGUACAGCUACCAGCCGCCGUUGAAGCUAGCGCCGCACAAGGCAAUCGUAAUGGACCAGACAUUGAGCAUUUACGCGAAGAAUUACGUCAAUUACGCCAGUCAGUAGAUGAGGUAUCCCAGGCUUCUGUGGAGAGUUUAAGGAGACGAAUGUUGCUGUAUACAGCUCGUCCACUCAGAUUUCAAUAACUAUGAAGCGUUGGAGAUGUUGGAUUCCCUUCAAAGCACGGCCAAGGAUAAAGCACAGGAGAAAAAAGAUUAUUAUAGAGUGGCAUACCAGACAGCUAGAGAAAAGGUUAACCUGCCAACACCUCAAUUUCAAAUGCUAGUCCGUCGAUUAUUUGGUGACAAAGACCAUAACAAAGUACUCGACAUUGUUGCAAAAGUGGAAAAAACCCUCCGCAAAGAACAGUCACGUCGUCCAACGCCAACAUGGUUCUCUUAUCGCGGUUUCACAGAAACUGCCGAUUGUUGCUUAACUGUUUAUCCAGUUAGUCCAAUGUCCUGUGUGUGCUCAUGCUAACGACUGGGACUUUCGUUAUUGCCAGAAAUGUGGAUAUUCUUGCAAGUCAUUAACACCCGUCUCUAAUUCUAAUCGUGUUUUAAACUGUUUUAAUAGUUCCCAUUUGAACUUCAGAGGCCUUCAUCUAAAUAAUGUAGGCAGCUCAAUUCUUCAGGACAAUUUAAGAGAAUUUGCAAAUAAUAUACCUAAUUGACAUGAUAUUUCCCCGGACAUUUCAGCAAUAACCUCCGAUAAUCAACUAAAUGACUUGUUGAAUGACCCGGCAAUAGUAAAUUGUAAUUCUGAAUCUGCUCUUAGCGAAAUUGCUAAUCUCAAAGGUUUUCGAAUAGCUAGCCUAAAUGUUAAUAGCCUCUUGAAGCAUAUCGAUGAGCUUCGAGUAAUA